RNAcentral lists this ribosomal RNA (301 nucleotides) under uncultured bacterium. RNAcentral describes it as "partial 16S ribosomal RNA". It matches the Rfam family "Bacterial small subunit ribosomal RNA", at positions 509 to 807 of the family's 1533-position model. The record is from RNAcentral.
CAGCAGCCGCGGGAAUACAGAGGGUGCAAGCGUUAAUCGGAAUUACUGGGCGUAAAGUGCGCGUAGGUGGUUUGUUAAGUUGGAUGUGAAAUCCCCGGGCUCAACCUGGGAACUGCAUCCAAAACUGGCAAGCUAGAGUAUGGUAGAGGGUGGUGGAAUUUCCUGUGUAGCGGUGAAAUGCGUAGAUAUAGGAAGGAACACCAGUGGCGAAGGCGACCACCUGGACUGAUACUGACACUGAGGUGCGAAAGCGUGGGGAGCAAACAGGAUUAGAUACCCCUGUAGUCCCUGUCUCUUAUAC